RNAcentral lists this unclassified non-coding RNA (311 nucleotides) under plant metagenome. RNAcentral describes it as "partial contains 5.8S ribosomal RNA, internal transcribed spacer 2, and large subunit ribosomal RNA". The stretch from base 1 to 104 matches the Rfam family "5.8S ribosomal RNA", at positions 50 to 154 of the family's 154-position model. The record is from RNAcentral.
GAAAUGCGAUAAGUAAUGUGAAUUGCAGAAUUCAGUGAAUCAUCGAAUCUUGAACGCACAUUGCGCCCCCUGGUAUUCCGGGGGGCAUGCCUGUUCGAGCGUCAUUACGCACCCUCAAGCCCGGCUUGUGUGAUGGGCCCCGGCGUCUCGUUCGCGAGACGGGCCCGAAAGGCAGCGGCGGCGUCGACCCGAUGAGCCCGAGCGUAUGGGGACUUCUGUCACACGUUCGCGGUGCGGACCGGCGCCUGCUUGACUUUUCUGAUUAUCCAGGUUGACCUCGGAUCAGGUAGGGAUACCCGCUGAACUUAAGC